AGGGGAGUGCUGGAUCCUGGGCUGUGUCCCCCGGAGCCCUGGGCUCCGGGCCUGUGCUACUGGAAUCAUGUGCCCAGGGCCGCACAGGCCCCC
This 93-nucleotide microRNA precursor is filed under the name Canis lupus familiaris (dog). Its description in RNAcentral is "mir-8799 microRNA precursor family". It matches the Rfam family "mir-8799 microRNA precursor family". The record is from Rfam by way of RNAcentral. Lineage: Eukaryota; Metazoa; Chordata; Mammalia; Carnivora; Canidae.